CCCUUAGAUGUUCUGGGCCGCACGCGCGCUACACUGACGAAUGCAACGAGCUUAUAACCUUGGCCGAAAGGUCUGGGUAAUCUCCAAAUUUCGUCGUGAUGGGGAUAGAUUAUUGCAAUUAUUAAUCUUCAACGAGGAAUGCCUAGUAAGCGCAAGUCAUCAGCUUGCGUUGAUUACGUCCCUGCCCUUUGUACACACCGCCCGUCGCUCCUACCGAUUGAGUGGUCCGGUGAGGCUUUGGGAUCUGAGCGGAAAGAGCGUUUCGCUGUUUCUGCCCGGAAAACUCAGUCGAACCUUAUCAUUUAGAGGAAGGAGAAGUCGUAACA
This 326-nucleotide ribosomal RNA is filed under the name uncultured eukaryote. RNAcentral describes it as "partial 18S ribosomal RNA". It matches the Rfam family "Eukaryotic small subunit ribosomal RNA", at positions 1470 to 1796 of the family's 1831-position model. The record is from RNAcentral.